UCAGAGCAAAAAUCCAAGCCAUGAGGUUCAAGGAAUUGUCUGUAGACCACCAUUACAGGAUUGUAUCGAGGCACAGAUCUGGGGAAGGAAGUGAAUACUUUCCGGAUGCACUGUAUAGUCACUGUAGUCAAAUUAUCAUUCAAACUAAAUGCAGAUCUUGUUUUAGGCUGCUGGGAGAGAGGUUCCCACAGAGGUGUGUAGCGUUUUAUCAGCUAGUGCAGCACUGCAUUCUCUAGUCAUGAGGUGCAGUAACUGAUGGCAGAUGGUGGCUGUUGGCAUUUGUACCCGGCUGGCGCACAGACUGAGUAACGGAAAGCUCGGUGUGAGGCACAAACAGCUCUCACUCGACACUUUAAACCAACCAUGUAGGACAAUAUCAUAACCAGACUCAAAAAAUUAUUUUUUGACAGUGGAUUAGUCCAUAUAGUUUCAGAUAUAAUGUCACAUAUAAGAAGAAUCAUUGUAAGAUCACCUUGGGUUGUGUUAUCUAAUGCCCUUGAAGGUGUUAGCAUCCGUUUUGCUUACUUACUGAAUUCAAGAGCCAGACUUUUCAAGCGGAUUUCCUGUAGGACAGAAGAUCUAAAGCAGAUGAGCAGAAAUUAUUUUUUUCAGGGUUCUCAGGGAACAUCAGCUUUGAGUUCUGCAUUAGCGCAGUAAAUUUCCAGUGAAUUCAUUGAGACGUGAGAUAACCACAGCAGGUUGUAAAGUAAAUCAAACCCUGAUGUUGGUUUUGUCUGGUUGUACAUUGACAGAGGUCAAACACCAGGCAAAACACUGGGAAAACAGCACCAUCCAAAGUUUCAACAGAAAUUUCUAAUAAAUCAUCUUUAUUCAGGGCUUUUCAGAUGUUCUUUAUUUAACGCCAGUUUGUAGUGUGCAAAUACAUCUUUCUGGAACCCAACAAAAAAGCUGAAGGCAUGUGUUAUUUAUUUUGUUUGUCGUCAUAUUGUUUUGAACAUAAGAUAUACAUGAUUUUUAGUGUCCUUUGUAGAAGACAUAAGUACUCAGUUACAAAGAAAAUAAGGCAUUGUUUUCUUAAUUAAUAUUCUUCAAUAGCAUUACCUGUAACACUCCUCUGUUUCUUUCUUUUUUUUCCUUCUUUUUUUGCAAAGAUAAGGUUUAAUCAAUUUUAUCCACUGACCAGCUACAACAUUAAAACCACUUAUAUUGUGUAAGUUUCUUUCGUGCUUCUAAAACAACUUUGAUGUGUCAAGGCAUGGACUCCACAAGACCUCCGAAUUUGUCCUGUUUCUAGCACCAUUAGCAGCAGAUCCUUUAAAUUCUGUAAGUUGUGAGUUAAAUCUUUUGUAGCCUCUAAAAGGUGGUUCAAAAAAAAAUAUUAUAGAUAUUUUGGCAAAAUAAGAAAUAAUAAGAAAAAUGUACACAUCUCCAUUCUGUUCAAAAGUUUUCACCCCCCAGCUCUUAAUGCAUG
This is a long non-coding RNA of Cyprinus carpio (common carp), 1432 nucleotides long. RefSeq lists it as uncharacterized. The record is from RefSeq and is a predicted model, not a curated record. Lineage: Eukaryota; Metazoa; Chordata; Actinopteri; Cypriniformes; Cyprinidae.